This 104-nucleotide microRNA precursor is filed under the name Marmota monax (woodchuck). The record is from RNAcentral. Lineage: Eukaryota; Metazoa; Chordata; Mammalia; Rodentia; Sciuridae.
CUAUAAAUCAUCUGGUGAUAUUAAAUGCAGAUUCUGAUUUAGGCAGUCUGGACAUGGCCUUAGAUUCUGCAUUUUUAAUAAACAAGAUCCCAGGUGAUACCAGU